This is a long non-coding RNA of Etheostoma spectabile (orangethroat darter), 395 nucleotides long. RefSeq lists it as uncharacterized. NCBI's taxonomy places the organism in Eukaryota, Metazoa, Chordata, Actinopteri, Perciformes, Percidae. The record is from RefSeq and is a predicted model, not a curated record. The transcript has 4 exons.
UCCGGACGGGCUCAUGAGCCCUCCCCUCCCCCCACGCAUUUGCCAUAGAGAUACACAAACAACAUGGCAGCAACAGGGACUAACAUUAAUUCUUUCCUCAACUAGUUGUUUCAUUACUUACUUAAGGCACCAAAGUGACCGGCAGCUCGUGUUGCUCCGUCCCCUGCUGAGAGUCACCUACAGCAUUCUCGGAUAACUGAACCACCAGCUACCGCUGACCUGACGGAGCACCAUGCGCGGCACCAGAGGCGGUGCUGACUAACUCUUUUGCGGCUCAACACAUCUACUAAAUGCCGCUAAUACGACCGAGCUGUGACGGAGGUCUGUAGCGGCUUUAACAACUAGCAAUUGCCGCUCUGUAGCACGGAGCUCUUUGACCUCCAACAACAUUUUUU